This 490-nucleotide ribosomal RNA is filed under the name uncultured bacterium. RNAcentral's name for it is "partial 16S ribosomal RNA". It matches the Rfam family "Bacterial small subunit ribosomal RNA", at positions 30 to 507 of the family's 1533-position model. The record is from RNAcentral.
AUUGAACGCUGGCGGCAGGCCUAACACAUGCAAGUCGAAUGGUAACAGGAAACAGCUUGCUGUUUCGCUGACGAGUGGCGGACGGGUGAGUAAUGUCUGGGAAACUGCCUGAUGGAGGGGGAUAACUACUGGAAACGGUAGCUAAUACCGCAUAACGUCGCAAGACCAAAGAGGGGGACCUUCGGGCCUCUUGCCAUCAGAUGUGCCCAGAUGGGAUUAGCUAGUAGGUGGGGUAACGGCUCACCUAGGCGACGAUCCCUAGCUGGUCUGAGAGGAUGACCAGCCACACUGGAACUGAGAAACGGUCCAGACUCCUACGGGAGGCAGCAGUGGGGAAUAUUGCGCAAUGGGCGCAAGCCUGAUGCAGCCAUGCCGCGUGUAUGAAGAAGGCCUUCGGGUUGUAAAGUACUUUCAGCGGGGAGGAAGGGAGUAAAGUUAAUACCUUUGCUCAUUGACGUUACCCGCAGAAGAAGCACCGGCUAACUCCGUG